AGUGAACGCUGGCGGUAGGCCUAACACAUGCAAGUCGAACGGCAGCACAGUAAGAGCUUGCUCUUACGGGUGGCGAGUGGCGGACGGGUGAGGAAUACAUCGGAAUCUACUUUUUCGUGGGGGAUAACGUAGGGAAACUUACGCUAAUACCGCAUACGACCUACGGGUGAAAGCAGGGGAUCUUCGGACCUUUCGCGAUUGAAUGAGCCGAUGUCGGAUUCGCUAGUUGGCGGGGUAAAGGCCCACCAAGGCGACGAUCCGUAGCUGGUAUGAGAGGAUGAUUCGCCACACUGGCACUGAGACACGGUCCAGACUCCUACGGGAGGCAGCAGUGGGGAAUAUUGGACAAUGGGCGCAAGCCUGAUCCAGCCAUACCGCGUGGGUGCAGAAGGCCUUCGGGUGGUAAAGCCCUUUUGUUGGUAAAGAAAAGCAGCAGGUUAAUACCCCGCGGUUCUGACGGUACCCAAAGAAUAAGCACCGGCUAACUUCGUG
This 492-nucleotide ribosomal RNA is filed under the name uncultured bacterium. RNAcentral describes it as "partial 16S ribosomal RNA". It matches the Rfam family "Bacterial small subunit ribosomal RNA", at positions 29 to 507 of the family's 1533-position model. The record is from RNAcentral.